GGGGCAUUAGCUCAGCUGGGAGAGCGCAUGGCUGGCAGCCAUGAGGUCAGGGGUUCGAACCCCCUAUGCUCCACCA
Molecule: transfer RNA, 76 nt
Filed under: Phoenicibacter congonensis
Lineage: Bacteria; Bacillati; Actinomycetota; Coriobacteriia; Eggerthellales; Eggerthellaceae
Also listed under: 2 other names
Description: tRNA-Ala
Rfam family: tRNA
About the family: Transfer RNA (tRNA) molecules are approximately 80 nucleotides in length. Their secondary structure includes four short double-helical elements and three loops (D, anti-codon, and T loops).
Source: RNAcentral